This 446-nucleotide ribosomal RNA is filed under the name Xerocrassa jimenensis. RNAcentral's name for it is "partial 16S ribosomal RNA". It matches the Rfam family "Bacterial large subunit ribosomal RNA", at positions 1808 to 2606 of the family's 2925-position model. The record is from RNAcentral. Lineage: Eukaryota; Metazoa; Mollusca; Gastropoda; Stylommatophora; Geomitridae.
CAAAAACAUAGCUACAUGAAAUUAUAUCUAGUUACUUCUGCUCAAUGAUAAUUUAAAUAGCCGCAGUACCCUGACUGUGCAAAGGUAGCAUAAUCAUUUGGCUUAUAAUUGAAGUCUAGCAUGAAAGAAAUUACGGGUAAUUACUGUCUCUCAAGGUGUGUUAAAAAUUAUUGAACAAGUGAAAAUACUUGUAAUUUAAUAAUAGACGAGAAGACCCUAGAAAUUUUAUCUAAGAUAAUAUAGGUAUUAUUAGUAUUUUGUUGGGGCGACAGAAUAACAAAUAACUUAUUUAACUAAAUGGGAACUAUAUGGUGAGUAUAAUUAAAUUACUCUAGGGAUAACAGCAUAAUUUGUAAGAGUUUGUGACCUCGAUGUUGGACUAGGGAUUAUAUUGUUUAGAAGAUAAUAUAACAAGCUCUGUUCGAGCUACUUUCCCUACGUGAUCU